AGGCAGCAGUGGGGAAUAUUGCACAAUGGGCGCAAGCCUGAUGCAGCCAUGCCGCGUGUGUGAAGAAGGCCUUCGGGUUGUAAAGCACUUUCAGUCGUGAGGAAGGCGGUGUAGUUAAUAGCUGCAUCGUUUGACGUUAGCGACAGAAGAAGCACCGGCUAACUCCGUGCCAGCAGCCGCGGUAAUACGGAGGGUGCGAGCGUUAAUCGGAAUUACUGGGCGUAAAGCGCAUGCAGGUGGUUUGUUAAGUCAGAUG
This 256-nucleotide ribosomal RNA is filed under the name Vibrio parahaemolyticus. Its description in RNAcentral is "partial 16S ribosomal RNA". It matches the Rfam family "Bacterial small subunit ribosomal RNA", at positions 346 to 594 of the family's 1533-position model. The record is from RNAcentral. Lineage: Bacteria; Pseudomonadati; Pseudomonadota; Gammaproteobacteria; Vibrionales; Vibrionaceae.